Molecule: ribosomal RNA, 492 nt
Filed under: uncultured bacterium
Lineage: Bacteria
Description: partial 16S ribosomal RNA
Rfam family: Bacterial small subunit ribosomal RNA
Source: RNAcentral
AGUGAACGCUGGCGGUAGGCCUAACACAUGCAAGUCGAACGGCAGCACAGUAAGAGCUUGCUCUUACGGGUGGCGAGUGGCGGACGGGUGAGGAAUACAUCGGAAUCUACUUUUUCGUGGGGGAUAACGUAGGGAAACUUACGCUAAUACCGCAUACGACCUACGGGUGAAAGCAGGGGAUCUUCGGACCUUGCGCGAUUGAAUGAGCCGAUGUCGGAUUAGCUAGUUGGCGGGGUAAAGGCCCACCAAGGCGACGAUCCGUAGCUGGUCUGAGAGGAUGAUCAGCCACACUGGAAAUGAGGCACGGUCCAGACUCCUACGGGAGGCAGGAGUGGGGAAUAUUGGACAAUGGGCGGAAGCCUGAUCCAGCCAUAACGCGUGGGUGAAGAAGGCCUUUGGGUUGUAAAGCCCCUUUGUUGGGAAAGAAAAGCAGCAGGUUAAUACCCCGCUGUUCUGACGGUACCCAAAGAAUAAGCACCGGCUAACUUCGUG